This 78-nucleotide transfer RNA is filed under the name Methanopyri archaeon. Its description in RNAcentral is "tRNA-Pro". It matches the Rfam family "tRNA". From Rfam's summary of the family: Transfer RNA (tRNA) molecules are approximately 80 nucleotides in length. Their secondary structure includes four short double-helical elements and three loops (D, anti-codon, and T loops). The record is from RNAcentral. Lineage: Archaea; Methanobacteriati; Methanobacteriota; Methanopyri.
GGGGCCGUGGGGUAGCCUGGUCUAUCCUUCACGGCUGGGGGCCGUGAGACCCCGGUUCAAAUCCGGGCGGCCCCACCA